Molecule: ribosomal RNA, 1487 nt
Filed under: Basfia succiniciproducens
Lineage: Bacteria; Pseudomonadati; Pseudomonadota; Gammaproteobacteria; Pasteurellales; Pasteurellaceae
Description: bacterial LSU rRNA
Rfam family: Bacterial large subunit ribosomal RNA
Source: RNAcentral
UAAGUGACUAAGCGUACAAGGUGGAUGCCUUGGCAAUCAGAGGCGAAGAAGGACGUGCUAAUCUGCGAAAAGCUUGGGUGAGUUGAUAAGAAGCGUCUAACCCAAGAUAUCCGAAUGGGGAAACCCAGUAGAUGAAGAAUCUACUAUCAAUAACCGAAUCCAUAGGUUAUUGAGGCAAACCGGGAGAACUGAAACAUCUAAGUACCCCGAGGAAAAGAAAUCAACCGAGAUUACGUAAGUAGCGGCGAGCGAAAGCGUAAGAGCCUGCAAGUGAUAGCAUGAGGAUUAGAGGAACCGGCUGGGAAGCCGGGCGGCACAGGGUGAUAGCCCCGUACUUGAAAAUCAUUGUGUGGUACUGAGCUUGCGAGAAGUAGGGCGGGACACGAGAAAUCCUGUUUGAAGAAGGGGGGACCAUCCUCCAAGGCUAAAUACUCCUGAUUGACCGAUAGUGAACCAGUACUGUGAAGGAAAGGCGAAAAGAACCCCGGUGAGGGGAGUGAAAUAGAACCUGAAACCUUGUACGUACAAGCAGUGGGAGCCCGCGAGGGUGACUGCGUACCUUUUGUAUAAUGGGUCAGCGACUUAUAUUAUGUAGCGAGGUUAACCGAAUAGGGGAGCCGAAGGGAAACCGAGUCUUAACUGGGCGUCGAGUUGCAUGAUAUAGACCCGAAACCCGGUGAUCUAGCCAUGGGCAGGUUGAAGGUUGGGUAACACUAACUGGAGGACCGAACCGACUAAUGUUGAAAAAUUAGCGGAUGACCUGUGGCUGGGGGUGAAAGGCCAAUCAAACCGGGAGAUAGCUGGUUCUCCCCGAAAUCUAUUUAGGUAGAGCCUUAUGUGAAUACCUUCGGGGGUAGAGCACUGUUUCGGCUAGGGGGCCAUCCCGGCUUACCAACCCGAUGCAAACUGCGAAUACCGAAGAGUAAUGCAUAGGAGACACACGGCGGGUGCUAACGUUCGUCGUGGAGAGGGAAACAACCCAGACCGCCAGCUAAGGUCCCAAAGUUUAUAUUAAGUGGGAAACGAAGUGGGAAGGCUUAGACAGCUAGGAUGUUGGCUUAGAAGCAGCCAUCAUUUAAAGAAAGCGUAAUAGCUCACUAGUCGAGUCGGCCUGCGCGGAAGAUGUAACGGGGCUCAAAUAUAGCACCGAAGCUGCGGCAUCAGUGGAAACACUGUUGGGUAGGGGAGCGUCGUGUAAGCGGAAGAAGGUGGUUCGAGAGGGCUGCUGGACGUAUCACGAGUGCGAAUGCUGACAUAAGUAACGAUAAAACGGGUGAAAAACCCGUUCGCCGGAAGACCAAGGGUUCCUGUCCAACGUUAAUCGGGGCAGGGUGAGUCGGCCCCUAAGGCGAGGCUGAAGAGCGUAGUCGAUGGGAAACGGGUUAAUAUUCCCGUACUUGUUAUAAUUGCGAUGUGGGGACGGAGUAGGUUAGGUUAUCGACCUGUUGGAAAUGGUCGUUUAAGUUGGUAGGUGGAGCGUUUAGGCA